Molecule: RNA transcript, 2438 nt
Organism: Drosophila teissieri
Lineage: Eukaryota; Metazoa; Arthropoda; Insecta; Diptera; Drosophilidae
Gene name: trypsin-1
Exons: 4
Source: RefSeq, a predicted model, not a curated record
UUCUAUAGGAAAACGAUUCGAAAUGUGUCCGUCAAAAUUUGUUGUGUGUAUACUGCUGAUUUCGGUAAGCGCCGAGUCGGGCUCGGAAUCGCAGGCGAGCCAGCUGCAGGUGCAACCGACGCCCAGUGGAAAGGAGCCCAGUCCAUCGGACUUUCAGUUCCUGGUCACCGGUGGCUAUCGGCCGGAGUCCAACGACCUGGUCAAGUACGCGGUCUCGCUGCGCAUGGGCAAGCCGAAGAAGUUCUUCGGGGACAACCACUUCUGCUCGGGCGUGAUCUUCAGCCAGCGGGUCAUUCUCACGGCGGCCCAUUGCAUGUACAGCAAUCGGCGCAAGCUGAAGCCCAAGCGGCUGAUGGUCGUUGCGGGGACGCCAAGGAGGCUGGUCAAGGGCGAUACAACGCAGAUUAUGGAAUCCGAGGUGCUGCUGCCGCAUCCCAAGUACAACAAGGGCAAGUCGCAGAAGUACGACGUCGGCCUGAUCCUGAUGAAGGAGGAUCUCAGUCUGGGCGCUGCCGUUGCCACCAUAUCCCUGACCAACAAGGCUCCGGUCUCCGGCGUCAAGUGCUCCAUCGUCGGCUGGGGCACGGUCAUUCAGUUUGGCCCACUGCCGGAUGAGGCCAUCAACGGCGAUGUGCAGAUCCUGCCGGACACCUUCUGCGAGAAGCUGCUGGGCUGGUCCAACGUGGGCAUGCUCUGCGCCCACGACAAGGAAAACUCCGAUGUGGACAGCUGCCAGGGCGACUCGGGCGGACCGCUCAUCUGUGACAACAUGGUGACGGGCCUCGUGUCCUUUGGCAUGGGUUGCGGCGAGCCCGAUUCGGCUGGGAUCUACACCGAUGUCUACCACUUCCGGGAUUGGAUCACCCAGAACUCCUGCCCCCUGGGCACACGACCUGCGUGGACGCUGCUGCUGCUGCUGCUGCUCCUGGUGCUGGUCGGUGCCGGCUCACCGGCUAGUGCAACUAGUUGACCUGCCAGCCAGCCUGCAAACCUCCGAGCCUGCAUACGACAAACCAAAAUUGACUAAAACCAGCGGGCAUGACCUGUCAUCCAUGGAUGUGGAUGUGGAUGUGGAUGUGCUUGUGGAUGUGAAGGCAGGCAGCGAAGGCGGUUGCCAAACGAGGCCAUGGCGAUGACGAUGGCGAAUGGCGAAUUGUGGUGCAUGCCGCGCCAUUACCCGCGCACACGUGCACACAAACGCAAUUGCCGUUGGGUGGGCGCACGGUUUAUGGUUACGCUGAUGCAGAUCCGCAUCCAGUGUUUGUGACAGCAAUUAUCGCAUCACCACCGACGACCCUGCUCCCCCAGCUCUCCCCUGCUCCCCUGGUGGCUGGCCACAGGGCACACGCAUGGCAGCAGGCAGCUGGCAGCUGGCAGCGAAGACAAUAUGCAACAAUUCGCGCUGGUUAGUUUGGGCACUCGCCAACUGUUGAUUAGGCCAAUUAGCGGCAGCCAAUUGUCUGCCAAUGGUCUGGGACUGCUCCUGAUAGCGGCGUGUGGCCUUCUGGAUGCCAGGUGACCGUGGACAAUGGCCCAUGACCAGCGAGCAAGAGCAACGAGCAACGAGCCCCAAACGAAUCUCGGUUAGAAAUCAGUGCGGAAGCAUGUUGAUUUGUUAUCAGCAAUGCAAUUAGUAAUCGCACACGCACACUCCCAAUCACUGGCACAUGAACGUACGCUGGCAAAGCGACGGAGACGGAGACGGAGAUGGAGACGGAGUCCUCAGCCACACAAGUCACGAACGUGUCCCGUUCUCAGAGUAGGACCCAGCACCCAGGACCCAGGACCCGUCCAGGCUCCAAGCAAGCUCUGCCUCGCCGCCAGACGACAAAACAAUGCUGAAUUGAUGUGGCACUCCGAGGGACGAGCCCCAGCUGACUACCCCAUCUCGCCCAGAGGCAGGCGACCAGGCCAGACUAUGCCAGACCAGACCAGAGACAUGCUUACAGACAUUCAGACAUUCAAACAUUCAGACAUUCAGACGACAUUCGCAAUCAGUUAAACUUGACAUCGUAGUUGUCUGAUUGCGGAGCGCCGUCCGGAGUGAAUCCAGUGACCAGAGGUGACCCACAAGUGAACAGGAAGAACUCAAAUGGGAUGGGCGUCUUGGCGUUGGCAAAACCGUUUCAUUUCAUCUUCACAUUUCCACCACAUCCACCAGUCUGGUCGUUCAACUCCGCCUGAUCAGAACGCGGUGCACAACCAAAGCCGGACGGAGUCCGAAUCCGAGCCGUACAAGCGGCUUAGUUGCCGCGCAGAGGGAUACGCGCCUGCUGACAAAUCGACGGCUAAGCUGCAACGCCAACACGUCGACCGCAGGCAGGGUCGUUCCACCAGGACCACCAGGACCAACAGGACCACCAUCCAAGCAGCGAGGAGCAGGACACGCGUCCCAGACCCAUCCAAAACCCCGGUUGAGCAGAGCCCACCGAAAUCAC